This 22-nucleotide non-coding RNA is filed under the name Arabidopsis thaliana (thale cress). Lineage: Eukaryota; Viridiplantae; Streptophyta; Magnoliopsida; Brassicales; Brassicaceae. The record is from RNAcentral.
AUAAGCUUGCUUUUGGUUCAAC